This is a long non-coding RNA of Daphnia carinata, 1794 nucleotides long. RefSeq lists it as uncharacterized. Lineage: Eukaryota; Metazoa; Arthropoda; Branchiopoda; Diplostraca; Daphniidae. The transcript has 10 exons. The record is from RefSeq and is a predicted model, not a curated record.
CUAAUUUAAUAGGACAUACGUAAUGGCAGCCAAAGUUUUAGCACUGCAAGUCGACCAUGUGGUUUCGCCUACCACGCCACGAGAUGGACUCAUGAUGAAACCUAUUAAAAGAUAAGUUACCAUCCCUGGCGCAUGCGUUUCCAGAACUAUCAUGGGACAUCCCCAAACUAAUUUUUACUCACUUGUGGCCAAUUUCAUGAGCCAUUACAUAGACCGAAUUGAAACCUGUGGACGGUGCAAACACCAGUGACAGUGGAUAGACCUUUGUUAUUUCGAAAGUAGUCUACAAUCAUCUUCUUUAAGCAAAGAAAUCAUGCCCAGACAGCAACAGCGCCAUAUCCCAAUGUUCUGCAUCAUUGUCUGAGGGCUUGUUAAGUUUUGUUUGGAAAGCGCAAAACGAAUCAAGCAUUUGGCCACGUUCACCACCACUAUGUAGUGUGGCUGCUGGCUUUGCAUGGAAUUCCAUGUAAACUAUCGACAAGUCAACCCGCUGACCCAGACUAGGGAGGCAAGAACCAACUCACGAAGCUUAACAUACUCUUGUGCCCCAAAAUAUGGCAUAAACAAAGCCAAGGCUGCUGAAUCCAUAAAGAUUCCCAGUUCAAUAACUUUGUUUGGAGCAGAUUUUUCAGUAAUUGAUUUUUCUAAGGCAUUUUUUCCUGUGUGUAGAUUUUGUUUUCCAAAUCGGUUAUUGUCAAUGGUAUCUGCCUUUUACCUCUGGUUCCCGAGUUACAUUCAUGGCCCUCAUACGAUUAGCUUGCUUGAUGGGCUUGAAAAUGGGGUAGUGGAUCAAUCGGCCGAACGAUGUGAGCGCCAAUCAUAAUAGUUUCGUCCUCGUUAUCAGGAGGAAGGUGGAGCAUCUGACGAAGUCUCGAAGGUACUGGUCUGAUCUCCAAGGAUUUUCCUCCAUCGAUUAAUGACUGAGAGCUGCCACUACCUCACCAUCAGUGUGGAGAAAAUGACAUUCUGUGCCUCUGGGAUGUUCUUUCACAAUUUCCUCGCCCAGUAAUCCACCGCUUCGUACGACCGUCUUCAUAUUUGGUGCCAUAAGAAAGGUGUUAGGUCGCAUCUUCAGGUUAUAUGUUCUAAAAAUUUUAUGGAUGAAUCUGAUGGCUGCAAUUUGGAUUACAUUUUUCAGCAAAGUUUCAUACUUUCCAUUGGCAAAGAAAGAAUAACGAGCAUGGGUAUCUUGUGGGCUGCUUCUCUUCGUGUUACGAUUAUCGCCGUUCGGGAAAGGACGUGUAGGGGCGGACACUCUAUGACGGCGAAUGUAGAUUACUUCAUAUUCGUCAACUUGCGAUGAAUUGACAACCCCAAAUAUUUGACCCAACUCGUCUACACUCAUCAAGCUGUGCAACGUGCGAAAUAACUAGAAAGUCAGGUGUUGAGGUCUUACGCCAAUGAAGUAUUUACCCCCACCUUAAACGCAAGAGGUUUAGCUGGACUGGAAUGGACAUCUAAUGGCUACAAGAUAAAUGUGACCGGCUACCAGACUCUGGCGAACUCGUCGUAUCUGCAUCAUCGUGUUGGUCGAACAGGCGGCGUGGGAAAUGUUGGAAAAUCAAUAAGCUUCUUUGACGAACAAAAACAUGGCAGAUACCUGAAUACAGGACGGAAUUGUUUUUUUUAAGGAAACAGUUAAUUAGAAUACUUUAUUUUACACUUUUCUGCUGCUUAUCCGGUUUAUAUUUUUUUUUACUGUAUCGCAUACCUACAUAACUAUCAAAAUUUCAAACUAUUUAUGUAAGGACAGUUAUGGCAUAAAGGUAGCAUGCUGUCCUGCAGCGCGAAUGG